Salvia hispanica is the source of this 1535-nucleotide long non-coding RNA. RefSeq lists it as uncharacterized. Lineage: Eukaryota; Viridiplantae; Streptophyta; Magnoliopsida; Lamiales; Lamiaceae. The record is from RefSeq and is a predicted model, not a curated record.
UUCUUAAAAUUUGUGCGGAGGGAAGACGAAGGGUGUAAAUUUUUGGCUGACAAAAUCUACAUACGCUUCCACAGAAUCAAUGUGGCCGAUACUGGAACGCGGUAGCUUGGGUGGCCCACUUAUUCACCGAUGCUUCUUUCCGAGCUGAGUUGAACUCCAUUUUCUGGAAAGAAGCAUUUAUCGUUAAGACAUUCUUCACUAAUUUUGUGUGGUUGCUGUUGCUGGAGAGAGAUGGAGCCUGAUCACAACGGCAGUUCAUCAGAGCAGCCAAGUUGUUCAUAUGUUCAGCUUGUUCUAACUGAUACUGGAUGAAGAGAGGGACAUAUGGUGUUAAAAACGUGUAGCCGAGUACUAAAGAUGGUUAGCCGAGGAUUGCCAGUUACUGACGGUCUAAUUCUUAAAAUGGUAAUAGAGGGUUUUCAACCUGAUGAAGAGAGGAUUUUGAAUGAAGGGACUCGGAAUGAGUUUUCAGAGGAAAGGAGUCUGCAGCUGAAGUUCUUAGAUGUGAGUGCCUGAAGUUGGCUCUGCUUGAUUUGAACAAGCACACUGUGACCUGUGGCCUUGGAUCUUCGGCAAAAGUGGAUAUACUACUUCUUGAGGGAGAUGGUGAUGAAAACAACAGGACUCUUGAAAAUUUUGAGAGAAGCAUCAUUCAAACAGGAGAUAAAAAGAAGCCUCACUUUUCUCCUAAAAAAUGUCUAUAUAUUGCUCAAGAAUGGUGUUGCGGAUUUGAUAAAUAUCAAGUUGGGACACGACAGAGAGUGGAACAAUAGGUGCAGCUGCAGCCUGCAGACUGGGAGCGAGGAUCGGGCAGAAUAUUGAAGGAACCAUGGUGCAAGAAGCAUGGACCACGCCAUUUAAGAGUAUGACAAAUUUCCCUGUCCAUCUCUUACUUCUGAAGUUUGGAGAUUGAAGGGAAUAGGCAGGACUGGCAAGCGCCUUGAUAGACUGAAAGAGAAAUACAUCGAGACUGUGCAGAUUUUCUGUUUUGGUACCAUGUCAACCCUGAGGAGCUCCAAAACAAAAUCUUAGAUAACGGUGAUGGCAGAUGGAAGACAAUAGUGAGUCAUGCUCAGAAGUGCAAAUUGACUGUGAAAAGAUGUUAUGUCACAGAUCCUCAACCGAACUAUAUACGAUUGUGUGGGAAAACUCAAGGGGGAUAUCAUGGAGUCCCAGUUUGUUGGGAUUGAUAAUCUGUAUGCUGAUAGAAAGGAUGAUGCUCUCAAGUUACUGAGAUCUGUAUUAGAAAGAGCCUCUGCGUUAUAAAAGGAUUUUCGAUACACAAUCACAAGCACCAUCUGUGAUUAUGGGCCUCUUGGAUCAAAAGAAAGAGGAGUGGUAUCCAACCCUGAUCCUCAAUUCACCCCUCUUCAUAUCUCAGGUCAGAGUGCAUGAUAUUUUGUGCAAAAGAUUUCGGGUGUAAUACAUAUCUUGAAUUUACAUAGAUCCAGAGAAGGAAACAGGCAUCAUCUUCAAUAUUCUAGGAGACAUGCUAAGAGUCCGGAUCAGACGAGCGCACUGCAGUCAGAAAAAGA